This 382-nucleotide ribosomal RNA is filed under the name Stenogammarus dzjubani. Its description in RNAcentral is "partial 16S ribosomal RNA". The stretch from base 238 to 382 matches the Rfam family "Bacterial large subunit ribosomal RNA", at positions 2473 to 2619 of the family's 2925-position model. The record is from RNAcentral. Lineage: Eukaryota; Metazoa; Arthropoda; Malacostraca; Amphipoda; Pontogammaridae.
UUGGAAACUAGUAUGAAUGGUUUAAUAAAGUUAAUUAGUUUGUGUUUUAAGUAGUAAAUUAAAGAUAAAGUAAGAAUUCUUUAAUUAAUUAGGGGACGAUAAGACCCUAAAAGCUUUAUGAUUAGUGUGUAUUUAAUUGUAUUAGUUAUAAUAAUUUACUGGGGCAGUAGUUUUUUACAGAUAAAAGAAUAAAAAAAGAUCCUUUAAAUAAAGAUUUUAUGGAUAAGUUACUUUAGGGAUAACAGUGUAAUUUAUUUGAGGAGAAAGUAUCUAUAAGUAAGUUUGCAACCUCGAUGUUGAAUUAGAAUAUCUACAUGGGCAGAAUAUGUGAAAGAUAGUUUGUUCAACUUUUAAAUUUCUACAUGAUCUGAGUUCAAACCGG